Molecule: transfer RNA, 74 nt
Filed under: Thermoproteales archaeon
Lineage: Archaea; Thermoproteati; Thermoproteota; Thermoprotei; Thermoproteales
Description: tRNA-Ala
Rfam family: tRNA
About the family: Transfer RNA (tRNA) molecules are approximately 80 nucleotides in length.
Source: RNAcentral
GGGCCGGUAGUUCAGGCUGGGAGAAUGCCCGCCUUGCACGCGGGAGGUCGGGGGUUCAAGUCCCCACCGGUCCA